Molecule: long non-coding RNA, 2536 nt
Organism: Rattus norvegicus (Norway rat)
Lineage: Eukaryota; Metazoa; Chordata; Mammalia; Rodentia; Muridae
Source: RefSeq, a predicted model, not a curated record
AUGACAUAUAUUCAAACUCUAUCUGGAACCAGAGGGUCAGGUGACUAUCAGUCAGUACAUUCUGCAGUUUUUCAAGAAUGUUCCUGUUCCUCUCAGAUGGAGAAUGGAACUUGGCCUAUCUUUGACCAGAGGCAGAAAGCUGGGACUUGGCCUAGUCUUGACCCAAGGCAGUUUUAUAUUGACAACACACACGGAAAAUAAUGUUAUGGAAGAGUGAAUUGACACAGGAAAUGCAGGGACCAAGAAUGGAUCAGAGACUGAAGGCAAGACCAUCCAGAGACCAUCCCACCUAUGGAUCCAUCCCAUCUGAAGACACCAAAUCCAGACACUAUUGCUGAUGCCAAGAAGUGCUUGUUGACAGAAACCUGGUAUAGCUAUUCUCUGAGAAGCGUUGGGAGGCCCUUACAAAUACAGAUACAGAUACAGUGAAUCAUUGGACUUAGCACCUGGACCACAAUGGAAGAAUUAGGGGAUGGACUAUAGGAGCUGAAGUGGUUUGCAACCCCAUAGGAAGAAAAACAAUAUCACCAACCAGAUCCCCCAAAGCUCCCAGUGACUAAACCACCUACCAAAGAGUACACAUGGAGGUUACCCAUGGCUCCAUCUACAUACAUAGCAGAGGAUUGCCUUAACUGGCAUCCGUGGGACAGCCCUUGGUCCUGUGGAGAUUCAAAACUCCAGUGUAAGGGAACGCUAGAGAGGUGAGGCAGAAUGGGUGAGUGGGGAACAGCCUCAUAGAGGCAAAGGAGAGGGGAAAUGGGAUGGGGGUUGUACAAGGGAACCUGGGAAGGGGGACAACAUUUGAAAUGUAAAUAAAAUAAGCAAAAAAUAUUUCACCUUUUACUUUCUAUAAAUAAAUGAAGGAUGUCUACUAUCUGGUAGCUUUCUUGGAUUCUGGAGGUAGAACAUACACAGAUAUAUAAUUCGGAAAUCAAAUGGAUACAAAUUGGAAAGGAAGUCAUAGACGUUAGAGGUGAAACAAUAAACACCUUUAUACUAAAAGAGCUUACUUAAUUCAUAAAUAUAUACUCUAAAUAUUUAUAAUUAUGGUCACAGUUAAGUAUAGAUCCUACCCUCUCAUAACAGCAAGAUCUCCUCGAAGAGACAGACCAUUACAGAAAAGCACAACUGGGAGAAAAUAAGUGAGGAUACAGUCUCCAGCUGAUAUGUCUACAAUACUACACUUUCACCUAAGGCUCAGGCAUUACAGCCAAAGAGGGGCCAGGAAUAUGAUAAGACCCAGAAGAACUGGAGUUUUGUUAUUAGACUGUAUAAGCUAACAAUGUCCAAGAAGCUAUUCUCUAGAAGUCUCAAUAUGGCUCUCUCCCCGAUGGGAUUUGGGUACAGAGCCCUCAGAUUCCUUCUAUCUUGGAUAAAAGCAUAGUUGACCCACACCAAAGUCCUAUCACAUGAAAAUUAAGGUUUUAAUAAUGUCACUAUUUGUGUCCUUAAUACUUUCAAGUAGUAAUAGUUGAGAAGAAAUAAAGUAAUAAUAAAAUAAAUAGUAGAAAACAAAACAAAGAAGCAAUUCAUACUCAGACAAAUUGCAAAGAGAAUUUUAGUUCAUGCUAAUGUCUUACUCUCUUUACAUUUGGGUCAAAAUAUCAGCCAACUGUUGUGAUUGGUUCUCUGCUACUAUACAAAAUACCCAUGUAGGAAAGAAAGGAUAUUUAUUAUUCAAUACAGCUUCAAGUCAAUAUUCUCACGUCAGUUUUAAUGGGCUAAAGUAUCCACAAACUUGCCCCCUUUAGUAUGGUUCUAGGUGAAUGAAUUUCCAUCUCUCAUUUAGCUUCUUACAUCUAUUUAAUUGGGAUAGUCCACUCCUUUAAUUUAAAAGCCAGUUGUGUAGCAACAUCUAUCUUUAACUGUGGCCCUUUAUUAUUAUAUAUUUCUUAUCCUUUCUCUGCUUUCAAAACCGUAUCUUUGACUCUGAUCCUCCUAUCCCUCUUGUCUUUAAAUUUACAGGGUUACAUUUCCUAUCUCCAUAGGUAACCUUGACUAAUAACACUAUAUCAAGACUCUUAGGUUAGUGACAUUUUCAAGUCUAUUUUACCACGAAAUAAAUAUUCACAUUUCUCUGGAAUGCUCAGUUGUGCACAUCAUUAACCAAGCAGUAUUAUUUUGCUUGCCAAGUUGCCCCUCUGGCUAUCCAUGUCCUUUCCACAUACAAAAAGAAGUACCUCUUUAAAGCCUUAAUUCAUUACAUAAGUAUAAUGGAGGAGUUGUUCAAAAAUCUGUAUAGAAAAGAGAUGUAAGGCUUGUAUAAUAGCCCAUGAGGGUUGUGAAAUUGUCACUUGAGUAUCCUUUAAUUAGGAAACAUAGAAUACUCAAAACUCCAAAUUCUAUAUGUCUAGAUUUACUAUUACGUCUGUGAUGAGGCAAUGUGUACAAUUAUGCAGGAAAAAAAAUCCAGAAUUCUAAUUUCAAAUUAAAUUUGAGUAGCAGAAAAAACAAAUGAGUAAUCUAUGAAAUAGAUUUUAAUAAAUGUAUUAUUUAUUAAAAAUUCAAAUAUUUUAAGAAAUUGAUGCUCAAACAC